This is a long non-coding RNA of Polistes dominula (European paper wasp), 710 nucleotides long. The record is from RefSeq and is a predicted model, not a curated record. Lineage: Eukaryota; Metazoa; Arthropoda; Insecta; Hymenoptera; Vespidae.
UUUAAAUAAUUAUACAAAUAUAAAUAUUAUUGAAACGUCAAGAGCUAUUUCGAUGAGAACCAUCACGCGACCGGAGUGAAACGCAUAAGAGUAUUUUCCCUCUUAACUUUCAAAGAAAAAACAAGCAUAUAAAGAAAGAAAAAGGAAGAGAGUAAUAGAGUAACCCUUUUACAAUGAUUAAGUACUCUUAAUAAUCUUCUUAUCGCUUAAGAAAACUAAAACUUAACCUUCCACACACCUUAAAGACCAGAAUGGCAACCAUGCCGAUGAGGAAGACACAAACAUCACUAACGCAGUAAUGUAGUAUCACUACUAAUGGAUAUGUACCGAGUAUCUAAAAGACGGAGAACUUGAAAGAGUUAAAACUUGUGCUGCUCGGUAAGAGGGAAAAGUGGAUUCCAAAAUACUCUGGAAUUUUGAUUAUGCAGUAGUCGAUUAAUCGAGUUCAUUGAAUUUUGUUUUAAAAGUUUAUUUUAUAUUUUUUCUGUAAAUUAUUGAAUAUGAUCUAUCGGUAUCGAUUACAAGCUCUUUUAAAAAAUAAUAUUACAAUUCUGUCGCUUGAUAUGAAAGGUCAACACGUAUAUUGGAACUUCCGGUGAUCGAACGGUAUCGAACAAAAGCCGUUCGAGACAAUAAUAAUUGACAUUCAAAUAAUCUAGAAAAAUGUUAUCCUAAUUCUUGAUAAGUUCCAGUUACUAUGAAUUAACCAA